RNAcentral lists this ribosomal RNA (460 nucleotides) under uncultured bacterium. Its description in RNAcentral is "partial 16S ribosomal RNA". It matches the Rfam family "Bacterial small subunit ribosomal RNA", at positions 338 to 795 of the family's 1533-position model. The record is from RNAcentral.
CCUACGGGAGGCAGCAGUGAGGAAUAUUGGUCAAUGGACGAGAGUCUGAACCAGCCAAGUAGCGUGAAGGAUGACUGCCCUAUGGGUUGUAAACUUCUUUUAUCUGGGAAUAAAACGUUCCACGUGUGGGAUUUUGUAUGUACCAUAUGAAUAAGGAUAGGAUAACUCCGUGCCAGCAGCCGCGGUAAUACGGAGGAUCCGAGCGUUAUCCGGAUUUAUUGGGGUUAAAGGGAGCGUAGGUGGAUUGUUAAGUCAGUUGUGAAAGUUUGCGGCUCAACCGUAAAAUUGCAGUUGAUACUGGCAGUCUUGAGUACAGUAGAGGGGGGCGGAAUUCGUGGUGUAGCGGUGAAAUGCUUAGAUAUCACGAAGAACUCCGAUUGCGAAGGCAGUUCACUGGACUGCAACUGACACUGAGGCGCGAAAGUGUGGGUAUCAAACAGGAUUAGAUACCCUAGUAGUC